UUGAAUGUAAAUGGAGUUGGUUGUUGCUGGUCCUUUCAUUGGGGCAUGUGCACACCUUCUCUAUUCAUCCACACACACCUGUGAACUUGUGAGACGGAUAGCCCUCUCGGGGGUCGUCCGUCUGCUAUACAUAAACUCCAGUAUAUAAAUCUGAAUGUAAUUGAUGUAACGCAUCUAUAAAC
RNAcentral lists this unclassified non-coding RNA (182 nucleotides) under uncultured Rhizoctonia. RNAcentral's name for it is "sequence contains ITS1". The record is from RNAcentral. Lineage: Eukaryota; Fungi; Basidiomycota.